This 455-nucleotide ribosomal RNA is filed under the name uncultured bacterium. Its description in RNAcentral is "bacterial SSU rRNA". It matches the Rfam family "Bacterial small subunit ribosomal RNA", at positions 8 to 507 of the family's 1533-position model. The record is from RNAcentral.
AGAGUUUGAUCAUGGCUACAGAACGACGCUGGCGGCAGGCUUAACACAUGCAAGUCGAACGGUUGUAGCAAUACAGCAGUGGCAGACGGGUGAGUAACACGUGGGAACCUUCCUAGGGGUACGGAACAACUCAGGGAAACUUGAGCUAAUACCGUAUACGUCCGUGAGGAGAAAGAUCUAUCGCCCUUAGACGGGCCCGCGUCGGAUUAGCUAGUUGGUGGGGUAACGGCCUACCAAGGCGACGAUCCGUAGCUGAUCUUAGAGGAUGAUCAGCCACACUGGGACUGAGACACGGCCCAGACUCCUACGGGAGGCAGCAGUGGGGAAUCUUGGACAAUGGGCGCAAGCCUGAUCCAGCCAUGCCGCGUGAGUGAAGAAGGUCUUCGGAUUGUAAAGCUCUUUUGCCAGGGACGAUAAUGACGGUACCUGGAGAAUAAGCCCCGGCAAACUUCGUG